This 2813-nucleotide long non-coding RNA is filed under the name Canis lupus familiaris (dog). RNAcentral describes it as "lncRNA (ENSCAFG00845028146.1)". Lineage: Eukaryota; Metazoa; Chordata; Mammalia; Carnivora; Canidae. The record is from RNAcentral.
GAGAGAGACAGAGAGCACAUGAGAGAGCAAGCAUGAGCAGAGGGGAAGGGCAGAGGGAGAGGAAGACAAGCAGACUCCCCAUUGAGCGGGAGUGGGGCUAGAUUCCAGGACCUCAGGAUCAUGACCUGAUCCGAAGGCAGAGGCUUAACUGACUGAGCCACCCAGGUGCCCCCUAACAUUCUUACUAUAAAAUUCUCUAUUGUAUUAUGUAAAAACAAAGCUGAACGCCUAUAUAGUCAGUAAGAACAAGUUAAUUUUCUGUAUUCCCAGGGUCAUAUUAUCAAAAAAAAAAUGGAUUCUUCAAGAUUCAAAUCUCAUUUUAAUCAAAUAUUUUAAUCACACCACAACAAACUUUUUAUUAAAGCUGCUAGCAAGGAAGAAAAUGGGCUGAGUCAAAUUGAGUUAAAUAGUCUCAUUUCUUAACCUCCAAGCUCUAAUGAAUGUACCAUGAGCAGUGAAAAUGCUUUUUUUUCUUCUUUAGAAAAAGGGCAGAGACCUAGACAAGUCAUGAAAGGACUCAGCCACUGGGUAAAAAAGAAUUGGCUGUGUUAGGCUCUGAGGUUAAGGUGCUAGGAAACAAAACAAGUACAACUCACCUGGAGUCCAGGGUCCAAAUUCAACCCGGAAAUGAGCCUCAGGUAAAUUAGCUAAUGUUAUCUGUGCUCAUGCGUGGCUCAGUUGUACCAGUAAAUUACCUUUUUAUGAAUAGUGGGCAAAGACAUCUAGUUCACCUACAUACCUUUCUUGGUGAGGAAAGCCACUUAGAGAUCCAAAGACUGGAUCUGAAGUUGUUCUGGAGAAGUCCAAAUCAGAGCCUAGGACAUCUUAUGUUCAUCAAAAUCCAGUAAAAACAUUUUCUUUCCCCUUCAGCUCUGCGUUGCUUGAGAGAAAUGGAACCAGUUAUGGGGAACUUAAAAACAACAGGCUGACAAAGCCAUCAGUUUUCCUUUAAGACUUUUCAACAUGCAUUUAACUUGAUGUUUUGUGGAACAAAAUUUAGGGGUUGGAAAAUUCCCUAGGAUUAUCUAUACUAGAAUACAUAACCUCAGCAUGUAGUCCAAAUAUCUCUCCAGUUCCCCUUAAUACUUCAUAUUUGUGGUUUUCAGUUAGGGUGGGAUGGGCUUGACUUGCAUACUCUUAGUUUGGAAAACCCAGCACAGCGAUGGAAUAUAGUGAGUCUGCAACUAUCCACCUCUGGUGUACACUUUACACACAUGCAUAUGCAUCAGUGUCUAUAUCACUAGAUGUCAGAUUUUACUGUAUUCCAUUAUCAUGCCUUCUCACAGUAGACCAACCCAUCCACCAACUAAACAGAUUUUACCAAGCUUAAUUUUUUUGGAUUACUUUAGGAAAACAAGUCAUAUUCUUACAAAUUGCACAUGGUCUCCCACUCUGAAAACAGUUACUCUGACUUUUCUGUUCAGUUCUUCUGCUAACAGCAUCCUUUUCCUAAGCAAAUUCCUCACACCUUUAUGAUAGCAAAAUUGCAAUUCAUAAUAAUGCAAUCUGACAUUACAAAAGAUUGCUCAAAUAAAUUUUGAGUGAGUUCCUACCUAAUUAUAAUGUCUCCAUUAUAUAUUGUGGAAUUUGCUGCCAUUUGUUAUUGAUAUUGCUGCCAAUUCACUCACUUUUCACAGAAUUGCAUUAAGUAUAGGAAGGCACCACAGUCUCUGGAUUCAAAUGACAGAGCCUAAGAUUAAAAUUCUAAUUCUCAAAAAAAAAUAAAAAUAAAAAAAAAUAAAAAUAAAAAAUAAAUAAAAUUCUAAUUCUCUACUGAUGCAGCCACGAGAUGAUAAAACAAAAAUGUUCGUAUUUUAUUUAAAAUAAGCAUCUUUACUAAAAUUACUGGACAUUAUUUAAAAACAUUCUAAGGCCACUUCUUUUUAAUUUAAAUUCAUUUUCUAAGGCCACUUGUAAAAGUAAAGAGAUUUAGCACCUUUAUUAAUAAACCCAGAGGCUGCUGCCACAGGAGGCCUGUGUUGGAUCCAAAGUACGUGAACCCUGGAGCCAAGCUCUAGAGUAGGCCAUUUGAACUCUGCUACUUUAAUUUCGAAUUCUUUCUUGAGGUGUUUUUACUUCCCUUUUGAAUUCUGACUUAUUUUGGUCUUUCAUUUCUUACACAAUUUUCUUCAUGUAUUUUAACCUCAUUUUGAACUAAUACAGUGUAGUGGACCUGCUUUUUUUAGUAUGUCCUACAGAUAUGCUUUACUGUCUCUACGGAUGUUACUUCACUCCUCAUCCUUUUUUCUCAUAACUUUGUAUGCCAUCAGACCUUGAUAUUUUUCUGUUGCUCUUUUUAAAAAAAAAUAUUUUAUUUAUUCAUGAGAGACACAGAGAGGCAGAGACAUAGGCAGAGGAAGAAGCAGGCUCCCCACAAGAGCCUGAUGCGGGACUCGAUCCCAGGACCUCAGGAUCAUGCCAUGAGUCAAAGGCAGACACUCAACCUCUGAUCCACCCAGGCAUCCCUCUGUUGCUCAUUUUUAUGUGAAUUUAGUUUUCUUGAACUUGAAGAAGGAAGACUGGUUCAGAUAGUAUUUAUAACUUCAGUUGUUAAAAAUACGACAGUUUGCUUUUCGAGGUUUCCUGAGUAUUUCCCUCUCCCAUGUUAGUCCGGACCUUCUCUUCCCUUCUUUGCUAUUCUCAUCCUGCUGAAUUCUGAUUGUGCCCCCAGCCAUUUUUCCUCACCGUGAGGCUCUAGCCUCCAGGUAAAACAGUGGGUCCGUUUUGAGAGUUUGUGGGUUUAAACCACCUUGGUCCCUAUAGGCCUUUCCUUGAGAUCCUCGUUUCAUAGCCACCCACUAGCUGUGUGGCCU